CGGGAAAGCGCGAGGGCAGCUGACGCCCUUGAGGUGAGGAAAGUCCCCCCUCCUCGGCGGUAUCCGGCUGGCGCAAGCCAGCAUCCUGAGAGGGAUGGUAAAGGCAAAAGAAAUAAACGGUCUCCGGUAAAGCAUGAUUCCGAAGGGAUGACGUUUCCGGAGGAUCCGAUGGAAAGCCUCCCCGGAUGGAGAAAGUCUAAACGGAUCCUGUGAGGCCGCCGUGAGGAUCGGGUAAGACGAACAGUCGAAUGCUGCCAGCCCAUUGGGUGAACAGAAGGGGGCUUACUCCGCGGAUUCCCGCCA
This is a non-coding RNA of Thermoplasma acidophilum, 303 nucleotides long. The record is from Rfam. Lineage: Archaea; Methanobacteriati; Thermoplasmatota; Thermoplasmata; Thermoplasmatales; Thermoplasmataceae.